GUGGGGAAUCUUGCGCAAUGGGCGAAAGCCUGACGCAGCCAUGCCGCGUGAAUGAUGAAGGUCUUAGGAUUGUAAAAUUCUUUCACCGGGGACGAUAAUGACGGUACCCGGAGAAGAAGCUCCGGCUAACUUCGUGCCAGCAGCCGCGGUAAUACGAAGGGGGCUAGCGUUGCUCGGAAUUACUGGGCGUAAAGGGCGCGUAGGCGGACAGCUUAGUCAGAGGUGAAAGCCCAGGGCUCAACCUUGGAAUUGCCUUUGAUACUGGCUGUCUUGAGUACUGGAGAGGGAAGCGGAAUUCCGGGUGUAGAGGUGAAAUUCGUAGAUAUCCGGAGGAACACCAGUGGCGAAGGCGGCUUCCUGGACAGUAACUGACGCUGAGACGCGAAAGCGUGGGGAGCAAACAGGAUUAGAAACCCCGGUAGUCC
This 425-nucleotide ribosomal RNA is filed under the name uncultured bacterium. Its description in RNAcentral is "partial 16S ribosomal RNA". It matches the Rfam family "Bacterial small subunit ribosomal RNA", at positions 354 to 796 of the family's 1533-position model. The record is from RNAcentral.